UACGUAGGGUGCAAGCGUUGUUCGGAAUUACUGGGCGUAAAGGGCGCGUAGGCGGGCCCGUAUGUCGAUUGAGAAAGCCCUGGGCUCAACCCGGGAAUGGCAGUCGAAACUGCGGGUCUUGAGUGCCUGAGAGGAUGGCGGAAUUCCCGGUGUAGAAGUGAAAUUCGUAGAUAUCGGGAAGAACACCUGAGGCGAAGGCGGCUAUCUGGCGGUGCACUGACGCUAAGGCGCGAAAGCGUGGGGAGCAAACAGG
RNAcentral lists this ribosomal RNA (253 nucleotides) under uncultured bacterium. Its description in RNAcentral is "partial 16S ribosomal RNA". It matches the Rfam family "Bacterial small subunit ribosomal RNA", at positions 524 to 776 of the family's 1533-position model. The record is from RNAcentral.